ACCGGCGCAAGGGUGCGUAACGCGUGAGCAACAUGCCCGUAUCAGGGGGAUAAUCCAGGGAAACUUGGUCUAAUACCGCAUAAUGAUCCUUUGAGGCAUCUUUAAGGAUUUAAAAUUUCGAUGGAUACGGAUUGGCUCGCGUGACAUUAGCUGGAUGGUAGGGUAACGGCCUACCAUGGCUACGAUGUCUAGGGGUUCUGAGAGGAAGGUCCCCCACACUGGAACUGAGACACGGUCCAGACUCCUACGGGAGGCAGCAGUGAGGAAUAUUGGACAAUGGAUGGAAAUCUGAUCCAGCCAUGCCGCGUGCAGGAAGACGGCCCUAUGGGUUGUAAACUGCUUUUGUAUGGGAGCAAUAAGGGUUACGUGUAGCCUGAUGAGAGUACCAUACGAAUAAGGACCGGCUAACUCCGUGCCAGCAGCCGCGGUAAUACGGAGGGUCCGAGCGUUAUCCGGAUUUAUUGGGUUUAAAGGGUGCGUAGGCGGUUUUAUAAGUCAGCGGUGAAAUUCUCCGGCUCAACCGGGGGACUGCCGUUGAUACUGUAAGGCUAGGAUAUGGUUGCUGUGGGUGGAAUGUGUGGUGUAGCGGUGAAAUGCUUAGAGAUCACACAGAAUAUCGAUUGCGAAGGCAGCUCACAAAGCCAUCAUUGACGCUGAGGCACGAAAGUGUGGGGAUCAAACAGGAUUAGAUACCCUGGUAGUCCACACU
RNAcentral lists this ribosomal RNA (709 nucleotides) under uncultured bacterium. RNAcentral describes it as "bacterial SSU rRNA". It matches the Rfam family "Bacterial small subunit ribosomal RNA", at positions 94 to 801 of the family's 1533-position model. The record is from RNAcentral.